GCAGAUCUGCAGGGACUCACACAGCAGCGACAUGCGGCCCUGUAAGAGGACUGCUACAAAUUGAGCCCCAGGAAAGCAGGGCUGGGCCCAACUGCACUAACUUAGGCUCUCCCCCAAGGACAGACUCGGGGGAGCCUGGGCACUCAAAGGAGCUGGUUGUGGCCAACAUCCCAUUUUUAUGAGCAGCAGAAUUUUACUAAAUUAGGAAAUAGAAGAAUGAAGAUGAAUCAACUGCAACGUUGCUCCUUCUGACUACACAGAUCUGUCCAUUGAUGAGAGUGAGGUGCUGAAGUCUUCCACUAUUAUUGUGUGCUGUACAAUGUGUGUUUUGAGCUUUACUAAAGUUUCUUUAAUGAAUGUGGAUGCCCUUGCAUUUGAAGCAUAGAAGUUCAGAAUUGAGAGUUCAACUUGUUUGUUUACAUGGUGGAAUGCCUAGAUGGGAUGAAACCUACUUGAUCAUGGUGGGUGAUGUCUUUGGUAUGCUCUUGGAUUCUGCUUGCAGUAGAGAUGGAUGGACCCUUCUCCAGGCAUGGAAAACUGUUUAGAUUGUGAUCAACAGACUCAGCACUGGCAGCUUGCACUGAAGAACUCAGCAUCCUGGGCUCUUAGUUAAGUCUGCAGUGGUUACUAAGCGGGAUGUGGAUUCAUUUUCAAACUAAGCACUCAGCACUGCCCCCAGCUCACAGCUCCGGAGAUGAAAGGUAUCAUUUAUAAAGGGUUCCAUUUGCCUUUGAAGGCUCAAAUGCCUUUGCUCAGCCCUUCCCCCCAAUUUGCUCUGACAUCUGUUUGAGACUAAGAGAUUAUUCAGCUCACAAUGAGAUCUUGUCAGUGCCAGGACUGUUUACUGGAUGAUAUACUUUGUUGCCUUUUAAAAUAAAAGAUGAUGAUUUUCUUGUAAGAAGAAGAAGUGCCUUUGACUUCAAGACCUUCGCUUUUGGGAAAAUACCAUUAUUUGUCAAUUUGUGGUUUUUGAUAAGUUUUUUUUGUUUGUUUUACAAAGCCUUAGAAAAGUUUCGAAAUAUAGUCCAGAAUUCAAAGUACUAUUUUAUCAAAAAGCAGGAAAUAUUACUAUAUUUGGAGCUGGGACAGAGCAGAAACUUGACUAUUUCGACACACAACUUUCUUCACUGCCCUGGUGUUUAGUUAAGAACAUGAAAUAAAGAAAUUGCUUUGUUUUCUUUCAGAGCACACACACACUCAUGACCAAAAGCUUUUCUGUAGCUGUCUUCUAAACAGCUCCUUGGUAGUAGAAGUUAAUUCUGCACUGAAGGUUUUAUGCUAUGUGAGAUGACUUAUCGUUUCAUAAUAAAAAGCAUAAUUUGGAUAACUAUC
Molecule: long non-coding RNA, 1332 nt
Organism: Mus musculus (house mouse)
Lineage: Eukaryota; Metazoa; Chordata; Mammalia; Rodentia; Muridae
Product: RIKEN cDNA G630055G22 gene
Exons: 4
Source: RefSeq, marked validated